RNAcentral lists this ribosomal RNA (869 nucleotides) under uncultured Actinomycetes bacterium. RNAcentral's name for it is "bacterial SSU rRNA". It matches the Rfam family "Bacterial small subunit ribosomal RNA", at positions 28 to 916 of the family's 1533-position model. Lineage: Bacteria; Bacillati; Actinomycetota; Actinomycetes. The record is from RNAcentral.
GACGAACGCUGGGGCGUGCUUAACACAUGCAAGUCGAGCGGAAAGGCCCUUCGGGGUACUCGAGCGGCGAACGGGUGAGUAACACGUGAGUAACCUGCCCUUGGCUCUGGGAUAAGCCCGGGAAACUGGGUCUAAUACCGGAUAUGACCACUGACCGCAUGGUUGGUGGUGGAAAGUUUUUCGGCUGGGGAUGGACUCGCGGUCUAUCAGCUUGUUGGUGGGGUGAUGGCCUACCAAGGCGACGACGGAUAGCCGGCCUGAGAGGGUGACCGGCCACACUGGGACUGAGACACGGCCCAGACUCCUACGGGAGGCAGCAGUGGGGAAUAUUGCGCAAUGGGCGAAAGCCUGACGCAGCGACGCCGCGUGGGGGAUGAAGGCCUUCGGGUUGUAAACCUCUUUCACCACCGACGAAGCUAACGUGACGGUAGGUGGGGAAGAAGCGCCGGCUAACUACGUGCCAGCAGCCGCGGUAAUACGUAGGGCGCAAGCGUUGUCCGGAAUUAUUGGGCGUAAAGAGCUCGUAGGCGGUCUGUCACGUCUGCCGUGAAACCCGAGGCUUAACCUCGUGGCUUGCGGUGGAUACGGGCAGACUAGAGGUAGGUAGGGGAGAAUGGAAUUCCCGGUGUAGCGGUGAAAUGCGCAGAUAUCGGGAGGAACACCGGUGGCGAAGGCGGUUCUCUGGGCCUUACCUGACGCUGAGGAGCGAAAGCGUGGGGAGCGAACAGGAUUAGAUACCCUGGUAGUCCACGCCGUAAACGUUGGGCGCUAGGUGUGGGGUUCUUCCACGGACUCCGUGCCGUAGCUAACGCAUUAGCGCCCCGCCUGGGGAGUACGGCCGCAAGGCUAAAACUCAAAGGAAUUGACGG